AUUGAACGCUGGCGGCAGGCCUAACACAUGCAAGUCGAGCGGAUGAAGGGAGCUUGCUCCUGGAUUCAGCGGCGGACGGGUGAGUAAUGCCUAGGAAUCUGCCUGGUAGUGGGGGAUAACGUCCGGAAACGGGCGCUAAUACCACAUACGUCCUGAGGGAGAAAGUGGGGGAUCUUCGGACCUCACGCUAUCAGAUGAGCCUAGGUCGGAUUAGCUAGUUGGUGGGGUAAAGGCCUACCAAGGCGACGAUCCGUAACUGGUCUGAGAGGAUGAUCAGUCACACGGGAACUGAGACACGGUCCAGACUCCUACGGGAGGCAGCAGUGGGGAAUAUUGGACAAUGGGCGAAAGCCUGAUCCAGCCAUGCCGCGUGUGUGAAGAAGGUCUUCGGAUUGUAAAGCACUUUAAGUUGGGAGGAAGGGCAGUAAGUUAAUACCUUGCUGUUUUGACGUUACCAACAGAAUAAGCACCGGCUAACUUCGUG
This 484-nucleotide ribosomal RNA is filed under the name uncultured bacterium. RNAcentral describes it as "partial 16S ribosomal RNA". It matches the Rfam family "Bacterial small subunit ribosomal RNA", at positions 30 to 507 of the family's 1533-position model. The record is from RNAcentral.